This 497-nucleotide ribosomal RNA is filed under the name uncultured bacterium. RNAcentral's name for it is "partial 16S ribosomal RNA". It matches the Rfam family "Bacterial small subunit ribosomal RNA", at positions 28 to 507 of the family's 1533-position model. The record is from RNAcentral.
GAUGAACGCUGGCGGCGUGCCUAAUACAUGCAAGUCGAGCGAACAGACGAGGAGCUUGCUCCUCUGACGUUAGCGGCGGACGGGUGAGUAACACGUGGAUAACCUACCUAUAAGACUGGGAUAACUUCGGGAAACCGGAGCUAAUACCGGAUAAUAUAUUGAACCGCAUGGUUCAAUAGUGAAAGACGGUUUUGCUGUCACUUAUAGAUGGAUCCGCGCCGCAUUAGCUAGUUGGUAAGGUAACGGCUUACCAAGGCAACGAUGCGUAGCCGACCUGAGAGGGUGAUCGGCCACACUGGAACUGAGACACGGUCCAGACGCCUACGGGAGGCAGCAGUAGGGAAUCUUCCGCAAUGGGCGAAAGCCUGACGGAGCAACGCCGCGUGAGAGAUGAAGGUCUUCGGAUCGUAAUACUCUGUUAUUAGUGAAGAACAAAUGUGUAAGUAACUAUGCACGUCUUGACGGUACCUAGUCAGAAAGCCACGACUAACUACGUG